CGGACGGGNGAGUAACGCGUAGAAUCUGCCUUCAGGUCUGGGACAACCACUGGAAACGGUGGCUAAUACCGGAUGUGCCGAGAGGUGAAAGGUUAACUGCCUGAAGAUGAGCUCGCGUCUGAUUAGCUAGUUGGAAGUGUAAUGGACUCCCAAGGCGACGAUCAGUAGCUGGUCUGAGAGGACGAUCAGCCACACUGGGACUGAGACACGGCCCAGACUCCUACGGGAGGCAGCAGUGGGGAAUUUUCCGCAAUGGGCGAAAGCCUGACGGAGCAAUACCGCGCGAGGGAGGAAGGCUCUUGGGUCGUAAACCUCUUUUCUCAGGGAAGAAAAAAAUGACGGUACCUGAGGAAUAAGCAUCGGCUAACUCCGUGCCAGCAGCCGCGGUAAUACGGAGGAUGCAAGCGUUAUCCGGAAUGAUUGGGCGUAAAGCGUCCGCAGGUGGCAAUGUAAGUCUGCUGUUAAAGAGUGAGGCUCAACCUCAUAAGAGCAGUGGCAACUACAUAGCUAGAGUACGUUCGGGGCAGAGGGAAUUCCUGGUGUAGCGGUGAAAUGCGUAGAGAUCAGGAAGAACACCGGUGGCGAAGGCGCUCUGCUAGGCCGUAACUGACACUGAGGGACGAAAGCUAGGGGAGCGAAAGGGAUUANAUACCCCUGUAGUCAA
Molecule: ribosomal RNA, 664 nt
Filed under: Nostoc sp. HS013
Lineage: Bacteria; Bacillati; Cyanobacteriota; Cyanophyceae; Nostocales; Nostocaceae
Description: bacterial SSU rRNA
Rfam family: Bacterial small subunit ribosomal RNA
Source: RNAcentral